AAAAGCCCCAGCACCCGAGUGAGCAGAGGACGUGCCGAGCGGAUACACGGACCUUGCUGGACUCCCGGAGUGCGGCUGGACCACCAUGCUCAAGUUGGCCUUGGCCCCCAGGCUGCUGCAGACGCCCCUGAGGGGCUGGGUGGUCCCCAGGGCACACGUCUCUGCCAAGCCGGCCAGGACGCCCACUUCUCCCAUGGAGCAAGCCAUCGGGCUAUCCGUGAUGUUCCUCAGCUUCCUGACCCCCGCGGGCUGGGUCCUGUUCCACCUGGAGAGCUACAAGACAGGCUCCACCAAAUGAAGGCCCCGCAGCUCAGGAUCCAGGCACUGGAUGAAAGAUCGCAUUAAACCUUCCCUCCACCUAGUG
Canis lupus familiaris (dog) is the source of this 364-nucleotide long non-coding RNA. RefSeq lists it as uncharacterized. The record is from RefSeq and is a predicted model, not a curated record. The transcript has 2 exons. NCBI's taxonomy places the organism in Eukaryota, Metazoa, Chordata, Mammalia, Carnivora, Canidae.